ACGGCUAACUACGUGCCAGCAGCCGCGGUAAUACGUAGGUGGCAAGCGUUGUCCGGAAUUAUUGGGCGUAAAGCGCGCGCAGGCGGAUUGGUCAGUCUGUCUUAAAAGUUCGGGGCUUAACCCCGUGAUGGGAUGGAGACUGCCAAUCUAGAGUAUCGGAGAGGAAAGUGGAAUUCCUAGUGUAGCGGUGAAAUGCGUAGAUAUUAGGAAGAACACCAGUGGCGAAGGCGACUUUCUGGACGAAAACUGACGCUGAGGCGCGAAAGCCAGGGGAGCGAACGGGAUUAGAUACCCCGGUAGUCCUGGCCGUAAACGA
Molecule: ribosomal RNA, 316 nt
Filed under: uncultured Bacillota bacterium
Lineage: Bacteria; Bacillati; Bacillota
Description: bacterial SSU rRNA
Rfam family: Bacterial small subunit ribosomal RNA
Source: RNAcentral